AGGAUUAACGCUGGCGGCGUGCAUGAGACAUGCAAGUCGAACGGACACUCGGAGCUUGCUCUGAGUGUUAGUGGCGGACGGCUGAGUAACGCGUAGGUGACCUGCCCCGAAGUGGGGAAUAACUGCCCGAAAGGGUGGCUAAUACCGCAUGUGGUGAUGUGUUCAUUCGCAUCAGUAAAGCCGCAAGGCGCUUCGGGAGGGCCUGCGUCCGAUUAGCUCGUUGGUGAGGUAACGGCUCACCAAGGCGACGAUCGGUAGGUGGUCGUGAGAGGACGAUCCACCCAGACGUGGACUGAGACACGGCCCACGACUCCUACGGGACGGCGAGACGAGGUCGGGAAGUUUUG
This 347-nucleotide ribosomal RNA is filed under the name uncultured soil bacterium. Its description in RNAcentral is "bacterial SSU rRNA". It matches the Rfam family "Bacterial small subunit ribosomal RNA", at positions 26 to 367 of the family's 1533-position model. The record is from RNAcentral.